This 388-nucleotide ribosomal RNA is filed under the name uncultured bacterium. Its description in RNAcentral is "bacterial SSU rRNA". It matches the Rfam family "Bacterial small subunit ribosomal RNA", at positions 370 to 772 of the family's 1533-position model. The record is from RNAcentral.
AAUGGAGGAAACUCUGAUGCAGCGACGCCGCGUGAGUGACGAAGGCCUUCGGGUUGUAAAGCUCUGUUCUCAGGGAAAAAGAAAGUGAUUGUACCUGAGGAGAAAGGACCGGCUAACUUCGUGCCAGCAGCCGCGGUAAGACGAGGGGUCCAAGCGUUGUUCGGAAUCAUUGGGCGUAAAGCGGGUGUAGGUGGCUCUAUAAGUCAGGAGUGAAAGCCCUAAGCUUAACUUAGGAAGUGCUUUUGAUACUGUAGAGCUUGAAUGUGGGAGAGGAUCGUAGAAUUCCUGGUGUAGUGGUGAAAUACGUAGAUAUCAGGAGGAAUACCGGAGGCGAAGGCGGCGAUCUGGCCCAACAUUGACACUGAGACCCGAAAGCGUGGGGAUCAAA